Long non-coding RNA from Sinocyclocheilus rhinocerous, 102 nucleotides. RefSeq lists it as uncharacterized. The record is from RefSeq and is a predicted model, not a curated record. Lineage: Eukaryota; Metazoa; Chordata; Actinopteri; Cypriniformes; Cyprinidae. The transcript is spliced from 3 exons.
CUGCAAAUAAUCACAAUGCAAGUCAAGUCACCUUUAUUUAUAUAGCGCUUUAUUCGAUACAGAUUGUGUCAACAAUGUACUGCAUUAUGCCAAUGUUUUGCA